Molecule: small nucleolar RNA, 90 nt
Filed under: Absidia repens
Lineage: Eukaryota; Fungi; Mucoromycota; Mucoromycetes; Mucorales; Cunninghamellaceae
Description: Small nucleolar RNA snR56
Rfam family: Small nucleolar RNA snR56
Source: Rfam by way of RNAcentral
UAACGUGAUGAUAAACAUACAGACCUGUUCUGCAAGAUUGGGUCCGCCCUUUCUGCUGUAGACAACAUGUAUUGCCUAUUUUUACUGAAA